RNAcentral lists this ribosomal RNA (479 nucleotides) under uncultured Desulfobulbus sp. Its description in RNAcentral is "bacterial SSU rRNA". It matches the Rfam family "Bacterial small subunit ribosomal RNA", at positions 907 to 1382 of the family's 1533-position model. Lineage: Bacteria; Pseudomonadati; Thermodesulfobacteriota; Desulfobulbia; Desulfobulbales; Desulfobulbaceae. The record is from RNAcentral.
GAAUUGACGGGGCCGCACAAGCGGUGGAGUAUGUGGUUUAAUUCGAUGCAACGCGAAGAACCUUACCUGGUCUUGACAUCCCGGAGACCCUUAGGAAACUAGGGGGUGCUUCCAUCUGGAAGAAUCUGGAGACAGGUGCUGCAUGGCUGUCGUCAGCUCGUGUCGUGAGAUGUUGGGUUAAGUCCCGCAACGAGCGCAACCCUUGCCUUUAGUUGCCAGCAGUUCGGCUGGGCACUCUAAAGGGACUGCCGGUGUUAAACCGGAGGAAGGUGGGGAUGACGUCAAGUCCUCAUGGCCUUUAUGACCAGGGCUACACACGUACUACAAUGGCCGAUACAAAGGGCAGCGACACUGCGAGGUGAAGCCAAUCCCGUAAAAUCGGUCUCAGUCCGGAUUGGAGUCUGCAACUCGACUCCAUGAAGUUGGAAUCGCUAGUAAUCGUGGAUCAGCAUGCCACGGUGAAUACGUUCCCGGGCCUU